Long non-coding RNA from Corticium candelabrum, 1167 nucleotides. RefSeq lists it as uncharacterized. The transcript is spliced from 4 exons. The record is from RefSeq and is a predicted model, not a curated record. Lineage: Eukaryota; Metazoa; Porifera; Homoscleromorpha; Homosclerophorida; Plakinidae.
UCCACGCUCGCGUGAAUGAUGAUUUAAGUGUGUUGCUAGGCUAACAAGUCGUAUGACUUGCGCUUUCUCUGCGAGCAGUUAUCGCAGUGGGUGAGCCGCAGCGGUUAUUGAAAAGAGAGCCCGGAGCCCCAAUACGGUCACUAGACUCUAGAAACGACCUAGUUAGAGGACUAUCGUGGAGAGUUUAUAGAGAUAAGUUGCCCUUUGUAGAUGUGCAUACUAGUGUUUUGCCAUCUCGCUGAAGGAAUUACGUUCUAUGUUAUAUACUUAGGUGUCUGUUUGUUUUUGAAGUGUCUAUGUGUAUGUGUGUGCUUGUAUGUAUAUUUCUCUCAUUCGUGAGAGGCUGUACCUGUUGGUACGAAGCGAAAUAUAUUAUUAUUAUUAAUACGGGGAAUGGUGGUUGCUACACGCCGUGUUCUUUGCAGAAAUCGACUUUCUCGAGAAACUGUUUGCUCCAGAAAAGAUUUUUACGUGAUGCAGUGAUCAUCAUACAAAACGGCAAAGUUCUAGCCCAAAUGGUGUAAGAAUAACAAAUUGCUGAUCUACAAGCAGUUUGUAAAAGAUUGGUCAGAUUCUUCUUAUUGGAUGGUGAAACAUUAGACGAUGAAACGAGCUCCAGAGACGGAAAGGAGUCUCAUGACGUACCUCCUCUUGAUGCAAUUUCAAGUGUGUUAAUUAAAGCCUACAUCGUAUGAUUCGUUCUGCAAAAGGGAGGUAGGCAUCAAUAGAGAACCAUUAAUCUUCUGAACAGACGAGACUGUGCUGCAUUUGACUUCCCAAAUGUCAAUACAGAAGAGGAAUGAUCGUCAACGUUCCUGUAACGACCCAGUUCAGUUUUCCACACACAAGCAUGAUGAUGCCUAGCGAGUCAGCUUGUAGAAACCUAUCUAGCCAACUUCGAGAACUACUGAGUCGUCACCAGACAAAUCAAGACGACACCUACGCUGCAGGCUUCCUUUCUGGAAUUUACGACAAUCACGGGAUUCAUGAGUUUGCAGCAAAGCGUGAAGCCAAAGAAAUUGCAUUUCAGGUACUGACUAUUAGUCAUAGAAACUGGGAUAGUGUUAUACCUGUUUAAUUUAUUGUUUACCAAGUUUUAAAAGUACAUAUAGUCUGCUACUCUUAGAACAUUGCAUCCGUUUCUGUAUGGUUGAGGAAAUGAUUGGU